Molecule: ribosomal RNA, 253 nt
Filed under: uncultured bacterium
Lineage: Bacteria
Description: partial 16S ribosomal RNA
Rfam family: Bacterial small subunit ribosomal RNA
Source: RNAcentral
UACGUAGGGUGCGAGCGUUAUUCGGAGUUACUGGGCGUAAAGCGUGCGCAGGCGGUUCGUUGUGUCCGUCGUGAAAGCCCCGGGCUUAACCUGGGAACUGCGAUGGAAACUAGCGAGCUGGAGUGUGGCAGAGGGGGGUGGAAUUCCACGUGUAGCAGUGAAAUGCGUAGAGAUGUGGAGGAACACCGAUGGCGAAGGCAGCCCCCUGGGCUAACACUGACGCUCAUGCACGAAAGCGUGGGGAGCAAACAGG